Molecule: ribosomal RNA, 253 nt
Filed under: uncultured bacterium
Lineage: Bacteria
Description: partial 16S ribosomal RNA
Rfam family: Bacterial small subunit ribosomal RNA
Source: RNAcentral
UACGAAGGGUGCAAGCGUUACUCGGAAUUACUGGGCGUAAAGCGUGCGUAGGCGGUUGGUUAAGUCUGAUGUGAAAUCCCCGGGCUCAACCUGGGAAUGGCAUUGGAAACUGGUCAGCUAGAGUACGGUAGAGGGUGGUGGAAUUCCCGGUGUAGCAGUGAAAUGCGUAGAGAUCGGGAGGAACAUCUGUGGCGAAGGCGGCCACCUGGACCAGUACUGACGCUGAGGCACGAAAGCGUGGGGAGCAAACAGG